Molecule: long non-coding RNA, 953 nt
Organism: Eucalyptus grandis
Lineage: Eukaryota; Viridiplantae; Streptophyta; Magnoliopsida; Myrtales; Myrtaceae
Exons: 2
Source: RefSeq, a predicted model, not a curated record
AGAAGAGAACCGGAAAAAUAAAUGAAUAAGAAUCGCCCUUUCCCUCUCUCUUAACCAUCCUCCUCUCCUUCUCCUACCCUCGCGAACUCUCCCGGUCCCGUCCUUUCCCGAGAAAAUGCCCGAGCUGGAGGACGACGGCCCCGGCCGCACCCGCCGCGACAGCCCGUCGGCGGCAGCGGCGGCCCGGGGGAGUCCAUCAUGGACCUCGACCUCGACGUCUACAGUCCCUGGCCAACGAUGGAUCAGCAGCUCCCCUUCGGCGCUUUCCUGUCCGCCUCCGACCAGCCCAGCUCCCCUCUCUGGGCCUUAUCCUGCGGGUUCGAGGACAAGCUAGCCGCCGCACCCCGCCGCCGCCGGCGGGGUCCGCCUCUCCGAUUGCUCUCGAUCGUCACAAUUCAGAAACCAAAGUCCCUGCUGAGGAGAGUGAUCGUAAAAAGCUGCCAUCGCCAUAUUUGGGGCUGACGGCAUCUGUAUCAUCAAGGUAAGGAUGACCCAGGCUCUUCGUUACUUAAAAGAAUCCACUGAGCAGCUUGAUCUGGCUCAGGUUUGGGCUCCAGUAAAGAAUGGUGAUCGGUACAUCCUCACGACUUCAGGGCAACCCUUUGUUCUUGGUGCAGAUACUAAUGGGCUUCACCCGCACAGAACGGUGUCUAUGAUGUAUUUGUUUUCUGCGGACGGGGGGAAUGAUGGAGAACUGGGACUUCCUGGUCCUGUUUUCUGGCGAAAGCUGCCUGAAUGGACUUUUAAUGUACAAUACUACACCAGCAAAGAAUAUUUAAGGCUCGAUCAUGCUCUUCAUUAUAAUGUUCAGGGAACCUUGGCUUUGCCCGUCUUUGAACCAUCGGGCCAAUCUUGUGUGGGUGUUCUUGAACUCAUUAUGACUUCACAGAAGAUUAACUACGCACCGGCGGUCGAUAAUCUGCAAAGCACUUGAGGUUGGGUUUCUUUAAAAA